RNAcentral lists this ribosomal RNA (406 nucleotides) under uncultured bacterium. RNAcentral describes it as "partial 16S ribosomal RNA". It matches the Rfam family "Bacterial small subunit ribosomal RNA", at positions 30 to 526 of the family's 1533-position model. The record is from RNAcentral.
AUUGAACGCUGGCGGCAGGCCUAACUCAUGCAAGUCGAGCGAGCGGUGGACGGGUGAGUAAUGUCUGGGAAACUGCAUGAUGGAGGGGGAUAACUACUGGAAACGGUAGCUAAUACAGCAUACCAUCAGAUGGGCCCAGAUGGGAUUAGCUAGGAGGUGGGGUAACGGCUCACCUAGGCGACGAGCCCUCGCUGGUCUGAGAGGGUGACCAGCCCCACUUGAACUGAGACACGGUCCAGACUCCUACGGGAGGCAGCAGUGGGGAAUAUUGCACAAUGGGCGCAAGCCUGAUGCAGCCAUGCCGCGUGUGUGAAGAAGGCCUUCGGGUUGUAAAGCACUUUCAGCGGGGAGGCGUUACCCGCAGAAGAAGCACCGGCUAACUCCGUGCCAGCAGCCGCGGUAAUUC